GGGAAAAAUCAGACGCAGGAACUCGAAAGCGAACAGGGUGGACGCUGGAGAGAAGACUUGCUUGAGCCUCACGGCGCAGUGAACCUGAGCCUACGUUCUCUCAGGUAGCAGCACUGCAUAGAUUGUUGCAGGCUCUCUGCAGGGACUAGUCGUGCUGUGCCAGCUAUGAGAUGGCUGCUCCUGCAUCUCAGUGCUUCCUCACAAUUUUCAAGAGGCAAAAUGAGCUUCAGGUGUGAGAAAAGAAAUGCUUCUUUCCUAUGGAAUAAGAAAUGGCAAAAGGGACAUCCCUGACAGGAGGGUCAUCCGUGCUGAAUCACAGGUGCCUGCUCUGACUCACAGCCAGAGACUCCCAGCUAGAGAGCUGCACAAGAAAAGGAAAUCCAGGCUAUCCAGAGGAUGUUCUGAAUGGAGGAACUACCCAGAAUUGAAUUGCCAGAUGGGUCUGAUCUUGAAGCCACGCAUAAAUUGGUCUGGCUGUCUAUAAAUUAAGUGGAGGAAAGACAUUUUAAAACAAGAAAAAGUAUGCACUACGGAGACUUACAAACUACCUAAAAAUGCCUGAUACAGACCAGAAUAGUUGAAAUUAUCAGUAAGGAAAGAAGACGGCUUCUCUCUGCCUCACUGCCUGCAGAGGAAUGUUGGAUUAGUGCAGCAGCCAACAGGAGCCAACACAGACAUGAAAAGUACCGUAAUGCAGCCAAGAUUAAAUACUAGAGCUAUGCUGAGGAACAUCUGAGCCAUCUAUGAAAGCAGAAACCCUCAUACACUGCAAAGCAGGUAGCAGAAAACAGCCAUUUCCAGAAACCAAAGGAAGUGUUUUCAGGGAAAGAACUAAAUGUGUCUUGGUAUCAGAGCUGUGAUCUACAUGCCAGGCUAGAGGACCAGUGUCAAGGUCACAUCAAAGCUACCGGACUGAUGUGCUAGUGUUAGAGUUUGGGCUUUGGUACUGGGAAACUGUGUGGAAAAUAGAAAAAUCUCCAGAUACUCUGAAAGUUAUUGGCUCUGAGCUAUACCCUGAAUUGGUCCUGCUCACUCAGGCAUCAUCAGCAAAGGUCUUCCAUAAGAAAAUACUUAAUGGAUGCGGGGUCCUAACAACCUCCUUAGGGUCAGCACACGGAGGCAAUCCCCAAUUUACAGCUGCGAGGAAAGAUGACUUGUGGCAAGUUCAUUCUCUUUUCUAGCAGAGCUUAUGGACUUCUGGGAAGUAAGGGGUCUAUUUCCAGGGCGAGGACAAGUCAGAUAAAAAGUCUGUGGGCAUUGACUUCCUCACUUUCAGCAGGACAUUGCUGCAGGACAUUUACUGUGUUUUCCAUAUGACAUUGCUGCAGAGGCAGGCAGUCCAGGGCCAGUGAGGGAUGGAGAAGUAUCUGGUAGACAAUGAUUCCUUUGGGACUGUACUGUCUAGAAGAUGGAAGAGGGCCAGGAGAGAUCAAAGGCAUAGUGUCUGCUAAAAAAUAGUGAUUACAGCUGUGUCCAUGUAUGGUUGUGGGGGGUAUUCUGUUUUCUGUUUUGAUUUAAUUAUUAGGCUGUUAGAAAAUAUUAUUUCAGUUCAAUUUCAAAGCAUUUUUUUUUGUGAAUUAAAAAAAUGUUACAGAUUCUUUUUUACUCAAACAUAAGUGUGUGUGUAUGUAGUUGCAGCUACAUAGGCUCUCAUCAUGGCAUUUUAAGGGUAAGCUUAGUUUCUUAUGGAGUUACAUUAUAAAAUUGUGUGUAAAACUGAAAUGGUUCACUGAAAGGGAAACUAUAAAACAGUAUAAAGAUU
Long non-coding RNA from Aquila chrysaetos chrysaetos, 1762 nucleotides. RefSeq lists it as uncharacterized. The transcript is spliced from 3 exons. The record is from RefSeq and is a predicted model, not a curated record. NCBI's taxonomy places the organism in Eukaryota, Metazoa, Chordata, Aves, Accipitriformes, Accipitridae.